UACGAGGGGGGCGAGCGUUGUUCGGAAUUAUUGGGCGUAAAGGGUGCGUAGGCGGUUCCGUCAGUCGGGUGUGAAAACUCUGGGCUCAACCCAGAGACGCCACCCGAUACUGCGGUGACUAGAGUACGAAAGAGGAUCGCGGAAUUCCCGGUGUAGAGGUGAAAUUCGUAGAUAUCGGGAGGAACACCGGUGGCGAAGGCGGCGAUCUGGGUCGAUACUGACGCUGAGGUGCGAAAGCGUGGGGAGCAAACAGG
RNAcentral lists this ribosomal RNA (254 nucleotides) under uncultured bacterium. RNAcentral describes it as "partial 16S ribosomal RNA". It matches the Rfam family "Bacterial small subunit ribosomal RNA", at positions 524 to 776 of the family's 1533-position model. The record is from RNAcentral.